This 1281-nucleotide ribosomal RNA is filed under the name Triticum aestivum (bread wheat). RNAcentral describes it as "partial small subunit ribosomal RNA". Lineage: Eukaryota; Viridiplantae; Streptophyta; Magnoliopsida; Poales; Poaceae. The record is from RNAcentral.
AUGUCCCUGAAGCGCUCCGCGAAGAUGGCGGCACCUCCGCCCCCGCCUCCGCCUCCGCCUGCCUCAUCCGAGGAGACCGGCUCCCGCUCGAGCUCUGAAGAGUCGGAGGACGCCAUCGCCGACUCCCCACCUUCCGCCAACACGCGUGUGCCCCCGCACAAGGGCGAGGAGGACGACGAGUCUGACGAGGAGGAGCAGGAUGAGUCCGACGAGGAGGAGGAGGAGCCCGUCCACGCCGCCCCGACAUUCGCCCCCACCCCCAAGUACCAGCCUCCGCCGCAGCAACAGAAAGAGAGCUCGGAAUCUUCCGACGACGAGGAGGAAGAAGAGGAAGAGGAGCCCGCCCAGGCCGCCCCUCCCUCCUCUCCCAAGAAACGGCCUCCACCGCAGCAGAUCGAAGACGAGGGUGAGUCUGAGGAGGAGGAGUUCGAGGAGCAGGAGCCCGCUCACGCUGCCCCGACCGCCGCCCCCACCCCCAAGUACCAGCCUCCGCCGCAGCAACAGAGAGAGGGCUCAGAAUCUUCCGACGACGAGGAGGAGGAAGAAGAGGAAGAAGAGCCCACUCAGGCGGCCCCUCCCUCCGCUCCCAAGAAACGGCCUCCGCCGCAGCAGAUCGACGAGGAAGAAGAGGAGGGUGCCUCCGAGGAGGAGGCGCCACCGAAGCUGGCUCCAAAGCAGGCGCCAGAGGGCGUGAAAACCAAGACCAAGAAGCCAGCCGUGUUCAGCCGCAUCUGGUCCACCGAUGAUGAUGUACGUAUCCUCGAGGCCCUCGCCGUUCACCAAAAGCAGCACGGCACGCUGCCGCAGUCGGAUGCUCUCGUGGACGCCCUUGCAGGCAAGCUCGACAACCGUGCCUACGGCCCCAAGGAGCUGAAGGUCAAGGUCGGAACCCUGAAGCGUCGGUACCAUGCUCUCAGCAAGAGGAGCGAGCUCCUGAGCAAGGAACACGAUCGCCAGGUGUUGGACCUUUCCAAGACCGUCUGGGGCGGUGACAAGAGCACCGCCGCAGCUGCCUCCGUAAAGACGACAGCGAAUGGCCACAAGCGCAAGAGCUUCGAGGAGAUGUGCGAGCUGUACCCGUACUUAGCGGAGGACGUGAAGGAGCUGAUGGUGGAGAACCCGGGCAUGUUCAAGAGUGACUUCGGGAAGAUGGAUCAUGAAAAGGCGCGCGUGAUGAAUGAGAAGAUCAAGAGGCAGAGGGUGGCACAGAUGAAGCUGGGGCUGCGCCGCCACGACCUGAUCAGGGAGGUGACCAAGACAAUCAUCGACCUGGUCGACUGA